This 38-nucleotide transfer RNA is filed under the name Napeogenes verticella. Its description in RNAcentral is "partial tRNA-Leu". Lineage: Eukaryota; Metazoa; Arthropoda; Insecta; Lepidoptera; Nymphalidae. The record is from RNAcentral.
UAUGGCAGAUUAUAUGUAAUGGAUUUAACCCCCAUGUA